UACGUAGGGUCCAAGCGUUAAUCGGAAUUACUGGGCGUAAAGCGUGCGCAGGCGGUUGUGCAAGACCGAUGUGAAAUCCCCGGGCUUAACCUGGGAAUUGCAUUGGUGACUGCACGGCUAGAGUGUGUCAGAGGGGGGUAGAAUUCCACGUGUAGCAGUGAAAUGCGUAGAGAUGUGGAGGAAUACCGAUGGCGAAGGCAGCCCCCUGGGAUAACACUGACGCUCAUGCACGAAAGCGUGGGGAGCAAACAGGAUUAGAUACCCUGGUAGUCCACGCCCUAAACGAUGUCAACUAGUUGUUGGGGAUUCAUUUCCUUAGUAACGUAGCUAACGCGUGAAGUUGACCGCCUGGGGAGUACGGUCGCAAGAUUAAAACUCAAAGGAAUUGACGGGGACCCGCACAAGCGGUGGAUGAUGUGGAUUAAUUCGAUGCAACGCGAAAAACCUUACCUACCCUUGACAUGCCACUAACGAAGCAGAGAUGCAUUAGGUGCUCGAAAGAGAAAGUGGACACAGGUGCUGCAUGGCU
This 529-nucleotide ribosomal RNA is filed under the name uncultured bacterium. RNAcentral describes it as "bacterial SSU rRNA". It matches the Rfam family "Bacterial small subunit ribosomal RNA", at positions 524 to 1050 of the family's 1533-position model. The record is from RNAcentral.